CGAGCCGGGCGGGCGGCCGCGUGGAGUCCCUUCAGGGGCUUCCCGAGGAACGUCCGGGCUCCACAGGGCAGGGUGAUGGCUAACGGCCACCCGGGGUGACCCGCGGGACAGUGCCACAGAAAGCAGACCGCCCAGCGCUUCGGCGCUGGGUAAGGGUGAAACGGUGGUGUAAGAGACCACCAGUGCCCAGGGCGACCUGGGCAGCUAGGUAAACCCCACCCGGAGCAAGGUCAAAAGGGAGUCUCUUCCAGGGAAAGGAAGGAGCCUCCUGCGCGGACGCUUGAGGGCUGCUCGCCCGAGUCCGCGGGUAGACCGCACGAGAUCGGUGGCAACGCCGGUCCUAGAUGGAUGGCCGUCGCCCAGGGCUUCGCGAGGAGCUCUGGGAACAGAACCCGGCGUACAGCCCGACUCGUCUG
Molecule: RNase P RNA, 416 nt
Filed under: Streptomyces sp. cf386
Lineage: Bacteria; Bacillati; Actinomycetota; Actinomycetes; Kitasatosporales; Streptomycetaceae
Description: Bacterial RNase P class A
Rfam family: Bacterial RNase P class A
About the family: Ribonuclease P (RNase P) is a ubiquitous endoribonuclease, found in archaea, bacteria and eukarya as well as chloroplasts and mitochondria. Its best characterised activity is the generation of mature 5'-ends of tRNAs by cleaving the 5'-leader elements of precursor-tRNAs. Cellular RNase Ps are ribonucleoproteins.
Source: Rfam by way of RNAcentral